GAUGAAGAACGCAGCGAAAUGAGAUAAGUAAUGUGAAUUGCAGAAUUCAGUGAAUCAUCGAAUCUUUGAACGCACAUUGCGCCCAUUAGUAUUCUAGUGGGCAUGCCUGUUCGAGCGUCAUUAAGUCCACUUAAGCCCUGCUUAGUGUUGGGAGACUGCUCCAGCGGUGCUACCCUGUAGCUACCCUGCAGCUCCUCAAAGACAGCGGCGGAGUUGUGGUAUCCUCUGAGCUUAGUAACUUGUUCUAGCUUUCGAGUACACCACUUCCCCUGCCGUAAAACCCUUAAUUUUUAAUGGUUGACCUCGGAUCAGGCAGGAAUACCCGCUGAACUUAAGCAUAUCAAUAAGCGGAGGA
This 355-nucleotide unclassified non-coding RNA is filed under the name soil metagenome. RNAcentral describes it as "partial contains 5.8S ribosomal RNA, internal transcribed spacer 2, and large subunit ribosomal RNA". The stretch from base 1 to 120 matches the Rfam family "5.8S ribosomal RNA", at positions 35 to 154 of the family's 154-position model. The record is from RNAcentral.